GUCUACAACCAUACCACCCUGAACACUCCCUGUCUCGGCUGAACUCAGAAGCUAAGCAGGGUCGGGCCUGGUUAGUACUUGGAUGGGCGAUUACAUAAGUAGCAUAUUAAUAUCUGAGCCU
This is a ribosomal RNA of Pteropus vampyrus (large flying fox), 121 nucleotides long. The record is from Ensembl. Lineage: Eukaryota; Metazoa; Chordata; Mammalia; Chiroptera; Pteropodidae.